Molecule: non-coding RNA, 3220 nt
Organism: Oryza sativa Japonica Group (Japanese rice)
Lineage: Eukaryota; Viridiplantae; Streptophyta; Magnoliopsida; Poales; Poaceae
Source: RefSeq, a predicted model, not a curated record
GUAAGGUUUGAACUACUGCUGGGCGCUUGAGGGGCGGUCCUAUGUUCCACUGUACCAUCAAAUGGUUGCGUUUGAUUACGGAACUCAUACUUACCUAGUAGUCUCCGAUCAGGUGGCGUAUCCGGUGUCUGCGCGAUGGUCGAUGCUCCCCGCGUAUACGUGCCGGUGAUCUCUCGUUUUUUUUUUUUUUUGCUCAACCGGUUCCACCAAUGCAUGCCGCUUCCUGGAAAAAUUAGCUGCUGUAGUAAGCAAACGCACAGCUAGCUGUUUGUGCUUGCCUCGUGCCUGCAUGCGUAUUAUGCGUGCUACCAUGCAUGGCCACAUGUUUUCUCGUAGGCUAGCUUUUCCCCCUACUUGGCUCACUGAAUGCCGCUGCGCUUGUGCCAUACCGUGGUACAUUUUCUGUUUCCUGCUUCUUAAUUAGUACUUUUUUCUCGCUUUAAUACCUCUUUCUUUCCCUAUUUAAGCCAGCAUCUCGUUCUUUUCUCAUCCAUGCUUCAAAUCAAACUUCCUGUCUUUCUUUAGUUUGUAGUUAUUUAGCUGGCCGUGCUCUUUCCUGCGUCGCCGCUACUUCUCCCGUCGCCAUAGUUCUCUGAGCCUGGCAUCGUCACUACUUAGUUCAGCUAGAACAACGCGAGUGCGAGAUGUACGUGGAUGCAUCUUGGCGCAGGGCUAGCUGGGCGUCGGUGAGCCGGACGAGGUGCCUCUGCUUGUGCGAGCGAAACAUGCUCGUGGUGGACUCCUGGUUGGAGAUCUUCAGGCAGACAUGUUGAUCGUCAAUGUCCACCGAAGCGUUGGCCUCCAUGAUGCCAGACCGGCUGUGGCUGGUGGGUCCUGUUGUGGGUGAAACUGUGGCCCUAGCGCAUCGGCGUAGAACCCGAGCUUAAUAUGUGGUGGCGCGAGCGCGAAUGAAACUUUCUAUGAUCUUUCUAUCUUUGUAGAGAUAACAACCAUAUUGGUUUAGCAUGCUAUGCAUUCUUGCUUUUAGGUGGUAAAAUCUUGGAUAACAUUUUUAAAGUAUCUUUGCCAAAUGCGGUUAUAUUGGUUUGAUUCCCUUUGAUUAAAUUUGAAAACACACCAGUUUCCCCAAAAGCUCAUCAUAGUUUAUUUUCUUUUUCUCUUUUUGCAUUCUUUUCACCGUGAUUUUCCCAAAAUUUACAACAGUACAGACAAGGUAGAAUAUUAUUUGUGCUUUCCUCUUCUAUCCCUUUAUGCCAAAAAGUCAAUUAUUUGUUAGCACAUUGUUGCUUACACAAAAUCUUUUUUUAUCUCUUCAACAGCAUGCAAAAGCUGCAACUUGGUAGGAGUAGCUAGAGAAUAUCAUGUCACCUAUUUAAUCGUAGAAGACUACAAUAAAAGUAGAUUAGCGCUCCAAAACGACUUUACAGAAUAGCUUUUCGUUUGGAAGAUGUAACUUUUCAUCCUGUAACCGUCUCUUGUAGUGAAACCCUGUAAACCAUUAUUAAAAAACAUGUACUCACUCCUGUUCAAAAGUUUUGACUUUUGAAUGAGGUUAAAUUUUUAUAAUUUUAACUAUCAAUAACCUAAAAAUAUUUAAUUUAAAUGCACUAGCUAUUUAUCUUAUAAAGUACUACUCCAGAAUAUAAGUAUUUUUAGAGGUGGACACGGUUAUUAAGAAAGUAGGUAGAAGUGAAUGGUUGAGGGUUAUGAUUGGUUAAGCACUAAUGGUGGUAGGUGGGAAAAUUGAAUGAUGAAAAGUUCUGAUUGGUUGGGAAGAAAAUGUUGGUGGAGAAGUGGUUAUAUUUUGGAUAAAUCUCGAGGCUAAAAGUUGUUAUAUUUUAGGACUGAGGGAGUAUAUAUAUAUAUAUAUAUAUAUAUAUAUAUAUAUAUAUAUAUAUUCUUGCAUAUAUUAUAGUAGAAAAAUAAUAUAGUCAAAAAGAUAUAUUUUAAAAUCGUGUCGUAACCGGAGGAGUAAACUUUUCUCCCAUCAUAAAAUAAGACGGCUCAACUAUAGAAAAAGAUAGUGGUUGCAGCAGAGAUGACUAGUUAUGAGUGUCUCAGUUAUUGGAAUGUUAAUUCUGAAAUCUGAAUCCUAUGGUUAACCCCUUGCCAUCGUACUGUUGUAUAUAUAGAUUCAAUAUACCAGGUAUUAUAUAAGUUAAAUCAUUUCCUUAGGAUUCCUAAGAGAAUCGGUACGUACGCAUGCAUAUUUGUUCUGUUUUCCUUUUCCAGUUUUUCUGUUCACUGCUGGAGAAAGGGUUUUUAACCCCGGUUCACGGCCUGUAGUGUCCCGGUUAUUUAACCGGGACUACGAAUCCGAAACUAUUUAUAGCUAUCUUUAGUCCGGGUGAAAUAACCGGGGUGUAACUUUAACCGGUACUAUAAAUACAGUAGAGUCAUCACCAAUUUGUUUUCUUUUUUUUUCAUUUGUUUUUUGUUUGCAUAUUAAUUUCGCGUCAAAAUCACAAAUCAAAUAAACAUUCACAUUCACAGAUCAACGCUAAAUUCACAAAUCAAAUAAACAUUCACAGAUCUUUGAUAUCACAAAUUCACAUACUCAACAAUAAAAUUAAUCGUCCACAAAUUUCACAAAAAAUAAUCAUAAACAACACCAUGCAUUUACACAACAAAAAAUCAACACAACACAGAUCCGCCGCCGACCCCUCCGAGCCGUAGUCGCCCACCCCUCCGCCCGUCCGCCCACCCGCCACCUGCCGCUAUCCUCCACUCCACCUGCCGCCACCCUCCACGGCCUUCAUGGCGUGCUGCCAUGCACCACCGCCCGCCACCACCUGCCACCAAGAGAGAAGGCCGUGAAGAGGAGAAGAAAUCGAGAGGAGAGGGGAGAUGAGUCUGGCGAAGGGAUAAGACGUGCGCGGUGGACGAGAAGAUAGUGUCUCGAGAGUGAAGGUGUGCGGCUAUAUUUUUUUUCAAAUGUGGUCCUAGUUGGUAUAAACAACCGGGACUAAAUAUAUAUCUUUAAACCGGACUAAAGAUAGUGGGGCCGGAUGACUUUUUAAACUGGGACUAAAAAUGAUCUUUAGUCCUGGUUAUAAAGAUCAAAAAGUUCCCUUGGGUUUUUUAACUGGGACUAAAAAGAAUCUUUAAUCCCGGUUCCUAUUUGAACCGGGGCUAUUGUUCCACUAGUGAUUACGUGUCUAUAAAAUGCAUGCUAUAGCGGUAUAGCCCAAGUCUCAGAGCUAUGUAUUCUUACACGCGUACAACCUCAUGUUGAAAUGGUGGUUGAAUUACCGACUAA